This 133-nucleotide ribosomal RNA is filed under the name uncultured bacterium. RNAcentral's name for it is "partial 16S ribosomal RNA". The record is from RNAcentral.
GGUACCGUCAGGCCUAACGUGUAUUAUACGUUAGGAGGUUCUUCCCCUCUGACAGAGCUUUACGACCCAAGAGCCUUCGUCACUCACGCGGUAUUGCUGCGUCAGGCUUUCGCCCAUUGCGCAAAAUUCCCCA